GACGAACGCUGGCGGCGUGCUUAACACAUGCAAGUCGAACGAAGAGCGAUGGAAGCUUGCUUCUAUCAAUCUUAGUGGCGAACGGGUGAGUAACGCGUAAUCAACCUGCCCUUCAGAGGGGGACAACAGUUGGAAACGACUGCUAAUACCGCAUACGAUCUAAUCUCGGCAUCGAGGAUAGAUGAAAGGUGGCCUCUACAUGUAAGCUAUCACUGAAGGAGGGGAUUGCGUCUGAUUAGCUAGUUGGAGGGGUAACGGCCCACCAAGGCGAUGAUCAGUAGCCGGUCUGAGAGGAUGAACGGCCACAUUGGGACUGAGACACGGCCCAGACUCCUACGGGAGGCAGCAGUGGGGAAUCUUCCGCAAUGGACGAAAGUCUGACGGAGCAACGCCGCGUGAGUGAUGACGGCCUUCGGGUUGUAAAGCUCUGUUAAUCGGGACGAAAGGCCUUCUUGCGAAUAGUGAGAAGGAUUGACGGUACCGGAAUAGAAAGCCACGGCUAACUAUGUG
RNAcentral lists this ribosomal RNA (510 nucleotides) under uncultured bacterium. Its description in RNAcentral is "partial 16S ribosomal RNA". It matches the Rfam family "Bacterial small subunit ribosomal RNA", at positions 28 to 507 of the family's 1533-position model. The record is from RNAcentral.